RNAcentral lists this ribosomal RNA (253 nucleotides) under uncultured bacterium. RNAcentral describes it as "partial 16S ribosomal RNA". It matches the Rfam family "Bacterial small subunit ribosomal RNA", at positions 524 to 776 of the family's 1533-position model. The record is from RNAcentral.
UACGUAGGGGGCGAGCGUUGUCCGGAAUGACUGGGCGUAAAGGGUGCGUAGGCGGCCCGAGAGGUCCUGGGUGAAAGGCCCCGGCUCAACCGGGGAGGGCCCCAGGAAACCGGCGGGCUAGAGGGCUGGAGAGGGCCGCGGAAUUCCCGGUGUAGCGGUGAAAUGCGUAGAUAUUGGGAAGAACACCGGUGGCGAAGGCGGCUCACUGGCCCGUAACUGACGCUCAGGCGCGAUAGCGUGGGGAUCAAACAGG